GCCGUGGUGGCGGAAUAGGUAGACGCGCAGGUCUCAAAAACCUGUCUGCUUUAGCAGGUGAGAGUUCAAUUCUCUCCCACGGCA
Molecule: transfer RNA, 84 nt
Filed under: Candidatus Kuenenbacteria bacterium CG23_combo_of_CG06-09_8_20_14_all_39_39
Lineage: Bacteria; Candidatus Kueneniibacteriota
Description: tRNA-Leu
Rfam family: tRNA
About the family: Transfer RNA (tRNA) molecules are approximately 80 nucleotides in length. Their secondary structure includes four short double-helical elements and three loops (D, anti-codon, and T loops).
Source: RNAcentral